GCCGGGUUAGCUCAGUUGGUUAGAGCAUGGUGCUAAUAACACCAAGGUCCCCGGUUCAAUCCCUGCUCACUGCA
Molecule: transfer RNA, 74 nt
Filed under: Pelecanus crispus (Dalmatian pelican)
Lineage: Eukaryota; Metazoa; Chordata; Aves; Pelecaniformes; Pelecanidae
Rfam family: tRNA
About the family: Transfer RNA (tRNA) molecules are approximately 80 nucleotides in length. Their secondary structure includes four short double-helical elements and three loops (D, anti-codon, and T loops).
Source: Rfam by way of RNAcentral